CAGCAGCCGCGGUAAAACGGAGGGGGCUAGCGUUGUUCGGAAUUACUGGGCGUAAAGCGUACGUAAGCGGCUUUGUAAGUUAGAGGUGAAAGCCCGGGGCUCAACCCCGGAAUUGCCUUUAAGACUGCAUCGCUUGAAUCGCGGAGAGGUGAGUGGAAUUCCGAGUGUAGAGGUGAAAUUCGUAGACAUUCGGAAGAACACCAGUGGCGAAGGCGGCUCACUGGACGCGUAUUGACGCUGAGGUACGAAAGCGUGGGGAGCAAACAGGAUUAGAUACCCGCGUAGUCCCUGUCUCUUAUAC
RNAcentral lists this ribosomal RNA (301 nucleotides) under uncultured bacterium. Its description in RNAcentral is "partial 16S ribosomal RNA". It matches the Rfam family "Bacterial small subunit ribosomal RNA", at positions 509 to 807 of the family's 1533-position model. The record is from RNAcentral.